UUCUUUCCAUGGCAACGGUGAAAGCAGCUGGCCCAGGAGACCAGGGAACCAGAGGCGCCUUUCUAGGGAGGAGAAGCUGUAGACACUCUUCUGUGGUUUGCAGAGAGUGCGCAGCGCCUCCUGGCAAUCCUGCCACCCAGAGGGAAGGAACAGGAGGGGACUCAAAAGGCCCCCAGAGUUAAAGGGCAAACCUGCGGAAGUUUGAGAACUGGCAUCCUCCAGGACCCAGCUCUGGGCUGGGCUGUUCCCCUCCGUCCAAGGGAGAAGCCCCAGAGUCAGAGGGUGGCACAAAGAGAAGCCCUGAGAGUCCCCAUGGGAUGGACACAUGCUGCCCCCGCCCCAGAAGAGCCUAGAAAAUUGAGGGAGAGAUGGUUGGAGAGCAAGCAAAGCAGAAGACAGAGGAACCAUGGACUGCCAGGGCUGGUGAGGCUCUAGUUUCCAACAUGGAAUUGACCUGCAGGAGAAGCUGGAGACUUUGUUGACAAAAUUAGCCCAAAAGAUGAAGAGACCAGAAGAUCCAGCAGGAGCUGGAGCAGCAGGCCUGAGACCCCACAGAGUGACUGGAGUGACUGCGACUUUCAGAGGCAUUUCUUGCCACACCCCCUACCCUUGUGAGACCGGAAGGCUGGAAGAGGCUGGAGCUGUCUAAUGCCCUUUGCCCAGAUCAGAUAAGAUGCUGCUAAAGCAGUUUUCCUCGGGGGCAAGCCUUUGUUACCGAAACCAUCUGGGUGGAUUUCUCAAAAUGGUUUUUCUUUUGCUGCCCCUGAAAGCAGGAGGGGAUUUCUCUGCAGUCUUCGCAGUCUUCUAUGUGAGCCCCUGUGGGGUCCUGGAGAUAAAACCCACAAACACAUGGAGGCCUGAAGACUGGGCCCCUUGGAGUUUUUAACUCUACUUAGUCUACAUGGAGCAUCCAGCCACCUACCUGUUACUAUCCCAAGUGCUCCUGCCAGUUACGGCUCCGGCUUCUCCAGCGGUUUCUGUCCCCAAGGAGGCGAAUCUGCGGGUGAUUCUCUGCCCGCAGAACUGUCUCUCCAGUUUUAGGGUUUCCCCUGUGACCCCAAAUCUCUGAUGGAUCUGCGAUUUGCAGUUUGUUUUUGCUUUUUCUUAUUGUGAGGAUGGAAGGGAUGACUUCUGAGCUCUUUAUGUGUUGGAAUUGAAACUGGAAGUCUGUG
Canis lupus familiaris (dog) is the source of this 1172-nucleotide long non-coding RNA. RefSeq lists it as uncharacterized. Lineage: Eukaryota; Metazoa; Chordata; Mammalia; Carnivora; Canidae. The record is from RefSeq and is a predicted model, not a curated record. The transcript is spliced from 3 exons.